This 499-nucleotide ribosomal RNA is filed under the name uncultured bacterium. RNAcentral's name for it is "partial 16S ribosomal RNA". It matches the Rfam family "Bacterial small subunit ribosomal RNA", at positions 28 to 507 of the family's 1533-position model. The record is from RNAcentral.
GACGAACGCUGGCGGCGUGCCUAAUACAUGCAAGUCGAGCGGACUUUCAAGAAGCUUGCUUUUUGAAAGUUAGCGGCGGACGGGUGAGUAACACGUGGGCAACCUGCCUGCAAGACGGGGAUAACUCCGGGAAACCGGGGCUAAUACCGGAUAAUAUCUUCCUUCGCAUGAAGGAAGGUUGAAAGGCGGCGCAAGCUGCCGCUUGCAGAUGGGCCCGCGGCGCAUUAGCUAGUUGGUGAGGGAACGGCUCACCAAGGCGACGAUGCGUAGCCGACCUGAGAGGGUGAUCGGCCACACUGGGACUGAGACACGGCCCAGACUCCUACGGGAGGCAGCAGUAGGGAAUCUUCCGCAAUAGACGAAAGUCUGACGGAGCAACGCCGCGUGAGCGAAGAAGGUCUUCGGAUCGUAAAGCUCUGUUGUCAGGGAAGAACAAGUACCGUUCGAACAGGGCGGUACCUUGACGGUACCUGACCAGAAAGCCACGGCUAACUACGUG